RNAcentral lists this ribosomal RNA (447 nucleotides) under uncultured bacterium. Its description in RNAcentral is "bacterial SSU rRNA". It matches the Rfam family "Bacterial small subunit ribosomal RNA", at positions 330 to 794 of the family's 1533-position model. The record is from RNAcentral.
UCCAGACUCCUACGGGAGGCAGCAGUGGGGGAUAUUGCACAAUGGGGGGAACCCUGAUGCAGCGACGCCGCGUGGGUGAAGAAGCGCCUCGGCGCGUAAAGCCCUUUCAGCAGGGAAGAAAAUGACGGUACCUGACUAAGAAGCCCCGGCUAACUACGUGCCAGCAGCCGCGGUAAUACGUAGGGGGCAAGCGUUAUCCGGAUUUACUGGGUGUAAAGGGAGCGUAGACGGCAUGGCAAGUCUGAUGUGAAAACCCGGGGCUCAACCCCGGGACUGCAUUGGAAACUGUCAGGCUAGAGUGUCGGAGAGGCAAGUGGAAUUCCUAGUGUAGCGGUGAAAUGCGUAGAUAUUAGGAGGAACACCAGUGGCGAAGGCGGCUUGCUGGACGAUGACUGACGUUGAGGCUCGAAAGCGUGGGGAGCAAACAGGAUUAGAUACCCUAGUACA